RNAcentral lists this ribosomal RNA (468 nucleotides) under uncultured bacterium. RNAcentral describes it as "partial 16S ribosomal RNA". It matches the Rfam family "Bacterial small subunit ribosomal RNA", at positions 28 to 507 of the family's 1533-position model. The record is from RNAcentral.
GACGAACGCUGGCGGCGUGCUUAACACAUGCAAGUCGAACGGAAAGGCCCUGCUUUUGUGGGGUGCUCGAGUGGCGAACGGGUGAGUAACACGUGAGUAACCUGCCCUUGACUUUGGGAUAACUUCAGGAAACUGGGGCUAAUACCGGAUAGGAGCUCCUGCUGCAUGGUGGGGGUUGGAAAGUUUCGGCGGUUGGGGAUGGACUCGCGGCUUAUCAGCUUGUUGGUGGGGUAGUGGCUUACCAAGGCUUUGACGGGUAGCCGGCCUGAGAGGGUGACCGGCCACAUUGGGACUGAGAUAAGGGCCAGACUCCUACGGGAGGCAGCAGUGGGGAAUAUUGCACAAUGGGCGGAAGCCUGAUGCAGCAACGCCGCGUGCGGGAUGACGGCCUUCGGGUUGUAAACCGCUUUCGCCUGUGACGAAGCGUGAGUGACGGUAAUGGGUAAAGAAGCACCGGCUAACUACGUG